GCCCAUAACCUGAAGUUUUGCAGUCACCUGAAAGAAAACCAUAUACAUAGAAUGUGAUCAUAAAAUUGAAACCUCUAUCUGUCAACAAGUGGUUACUAUGUUUCAUGUCGGGGUCUAAAUUAAGAACAAGAACGAAUUGGGAAGGCAGAAAAACGAGGAAAAAAUGGUUUCAUUGUUAAGGCAGAACUUUAUUCAUUUCUCUACUAAAUAAGGGCCAAGGAAGAAUUAGAGCCACUGUUUACCCAGUAACUCUGCUAGAUACAAAAUAUCAGCUAUAACUUUCAAAAGCACCAUGACUUUGGAUGCAUGAUGAACUUAUUCUUUGAGCUUCUUUAUGCAUUUUCAUGUGAUGAAUUGACUUUGAGAUGCAAUUUUUAUCAUCAUGAUUCCUUUCAUACUAUGAACCAUGAAUUUAUCAAUGCAAAUGGAUCAAGCUACAUAAGUUCCUGUACUGCAAACCUAUUUAUUGUAUGAUUACCUCAUAUGCAUCUUAAUAUGUAGCAUCGAUAGAUUCGACUGGAAGGAAGAAAGCGCUUACUGUUGCUUUCUUUCUGUCUGUCUGCUGGUUUAAGGUCAGUAAAAAGGCAAAAUUUGCUCGUCAAGAAAUGCAAAUUUCAUCUUCCAAUCCAAAUUUACCUCUAAACUAUCUGAGAAAAGCAUAACUUACACUCUUAAAUCCUAAUAAGUGAUAUCCUUAUUUGGCCUUUUAAUCAUAAUUAGAGCCAAAUUUGGACUGAAAGACAAAAAUUGAUAUUUUUGGCCCACUAUGUAGUACAAGGAAAAAUUUAG
RNAcentral lists this long non-coding RNA (789 nucleotides) under Manihot esculenta (cassava). RNAcentral describes it as "long non-coding RNA (MESC_LNC004383)". Lineage: Eukaryota; Viridiplantae; Streptophyta; Magnoliopsida; Malpighiales; Euphorbiaceae. The record is from RNAcentral.